CAGCGGUGAUUUUUUCUGCUCAAGAUUACUUUGUGGCUUUAGCUCUGGAGUGGAAAUUUACUAUUAUUGGUAGGUUUUACAGAGGAAAGCCAACUAUGGAGGAAAUUAGAAAAGUUUUUAUCAGCAAGUUUCAUUUAACCAGAUCUGUGAAAAUUGCCUAUUUUGAUUUUAGGCAUGUGUACAUUGAUUUCACUAACGAGGUCGACUUUAAUCAUAUUCGUUUCAAAGAAUUUAUUGAGAUUGGAGAUGCUCCUAUAGAAGAUCUUGAAAUGGACAUCGGAUUCCAAACCAGAAGAAGAAACUUCCAUUGUCCCAAUUUGGAUUCUAAUUCAUCAACUACCAUGGCGUUUAUUCAGAUGGCAUGUCAUUUCUAGAAUGGUUAGUGAUAUUGGAGUUUCUAUUGCCCCUGAUCUAGCAACUUAUUCCAAGUCUAGGGGUAAUGUUGCUAAGGUGAAGGUUGAAAUUGAUUUGUUAAAAUCGAGAGUAGAUCAAAUUUGGUUAACAAAUAGAUGGAACCCCAAAUGGAAGAUGGCUCGAUAUUGAAUAUGACAAAGUUCCGAGCUACUGUCUCUACUGUAAGCUACAAAGGUCACUUUGAAAGGUUUUGUGAAAUCUUCUAAGGUGCUGAUUGAUAAAGGGAUGCGGCAUCCCAACAACGUCCAAGAGGUGUAGAGGAACUACAUCAAUCCAUCCCGAACUUGGUGGUCUGAUGAGUGAGAUCUCAAUUAAGUGUUCACAUAAUCUUCUUAGGUCUGAACAGAUAAUUCAUCGAAAUAAUUAAUUAAGAAAGAAAAUGGUGUUACCUAAAUAUGAAGGAAAUGGCUUGGAAUCCUAAAAUAACUGACAGAGACAUCAAGUGCUAGAAUGGGUUUGUUCAUAGUGGUGGAAAUAAGUUAAACUUGGAGAUGUGGGGUUCGCAAUUCAUCUUUCCAACAGUAAUUCCGCACAAGACCUUAAGGGUACCCCUGAAUUCAUGGCUCCAGAGUACCACGAUGAAGGAAUACAGUGAACUGGUUGAUAUAUAUAUAUAUAUGCAUGCCUUUGGGAUGUGUCUUCCGGAGAUGAUUACUGAAUAUGCAAAGUCAGAUGCACCAAAGUUUACACCGUCAAAGACAAAGGCGAGGCAAUUGAUUGGUUGAGUUGCUGCGACGAACUGAGAUUGGAAGAAUUGAGAUCAACUUACAGGUUUGAUUCCCAUGAAUUUUAAUAAAGGUUUUGCUCCGGCGAUUAGAAAUGCUGCUUGGAUGAUGCCAAGGACAGCGCCAAUUAUUAAUGCAGACGAGGCGGAUGGAAUGUGCCUCUUU
Nicotiana tabacum (common tobacco) is the source of this 1304-nucleotide non-coding RNA. The record is from RefSeq and is a predicted model, not a curated record. Lineage: Eukaryota; Viridiplantae; Streptophyta; Magnoliopsida; Solanales; Solanaceae.